ACGUUGUUGCGGCUAAAAAGCCCGUAGUUGGAUUUGAGCACGUCACUUGUGCAUCCGAUGCUCCAGGGCUUCGGUUUUGGAACGUCGGGAGCACGAAUAGUGGGGUGCUGAGACAUGCGGGAACGUCCACUGGUACCUCGGUCAUUCAGUUGUCCGGGGUGCAACUUCGGAGAGAUUACACUCCUACAGGUGCGCCCGCAGCCGUCACUGUGAGUAAAACAGAGUGUUCAAGGCAACCAUCAACUUGGUUGAAUGUUAAAGCAUGGAAUGACAAAGGAUCGACCUUCGGGCCUCUUUUUGUUGGUUCUUUGUGCCUUGCAAGGGGAAUUUUGCGGCCAAGUCCCAAGAGGUCGUCCACCCCGUGGGGACUGAUUGGCUUGGUCGUGCCGGGAUCAAUAGGAGCACAGGGGGCUAUGGGUACUUGAGGGCUAGUGGUGAAAUACUGAGACCCCUCAAAGACCGACAUCAGCGAAAGCACUUAGCUAUUGUGCUUUCAUUAAUCAAGGACGAGAGAUCGGGGAUUGAAGAGGAUUAGACACCCUCGUAAUCCGUUCUGUAAAUUCUGCAGACUUGGGAUCGGUCAGCGCUCUGUAUUAAGACCUGAUCGGCACCUUCCUCCUCUAUCGAGAAAUC
Molecule: ribosomal RNA, 633 nt
Filed under: uncultured eukaryote
Lineage: Eukaryota
Description: bacterial SSU rRNA
Rfam family: Eukaryotic small subunit ribosomal RNA
Source: RNAcentral